GGGGAUUAACUUUCAGAUCUUUCUCCAUCCAAAGCCUCUGUAGCGUCCACAGCUCCAGUUAAUGAAUUGUGAUGUGCUAUGCAAACAAGUGGGUCAUGUACCAUAGAGCAUAUCUGGCUGUGGUUUCCCACCUACUGUCAGUGCUGCACCUGCAAGAGCAUCCAUGAAACAGUCAAAGACUCUCAUGAUGUCUGGGGCAGCACAGAGUCUGACAUCAAGUUUUUCUGUCUCUCCUCUAUUGUACCUUGCAAAUAAAGCAGACAUUUUACUAGUGGUAACAAACCAUUUCACGGAAAAAUAUGCAUUCCAUCAGUGGGUCUAGUCCAUAUAAGGUGUAGUUAAAGCUACCUGCCUCUUCAAGCUCUCCCAGCCUCUUUUUCUCUCCAUUCUCAUCUCACUGCCUGGGCUCAUACUUUCAUUAACUCUUCAAGAACGUUCUAUUCCUCCACUACUGCCAGCAGUGUGUUGCUUACAAACCAUUUCCUACAACACAGACAAGGAUGAUGUGUUUAAAGUGGAAAUCUGUCUACACCACUUGCCUCACCCUCAGGCAAAAAUCUACCAAUUUCAUCACUGUGCAUGGGAUCAAGUCUAACCUUUUUAGUACUAUAAAAAUACCCACCUUCUGCCUUAAUAUUACUUCUCAUUGACCCCCCCCCCUCUUAUUUUAGGUUUGAGCCAUAAUAGAUGAUGGGCAUUUUCUCCUAUGGUAGGUUGUAUUGUUGUUUAAAAUAUUCAAUACUAUUCCUUAUUAGACACCUCCGUGUGGAGCUUUAUCCCUUGGCCAUGUGACUUGCUUUGGCCAGUGAAAUGUAACAGAAAGUGACAAGUGGCCUUUCUAAGCCAUCAUGACAUUUUAUCAUAUUCUUCCCUUGACUCCUGAUCUAUGUGUUCCAGGCAGGGGCUGCUGUUUCACCCUGGACUCCAGAAUAAAGAAGUUGUGAAACCAAUUCUAAGUCAAUCUGUGAUUGUUAUGUGAAAUGAGAGAGAAAUUCAGGCUUAUUGUAAGAUACUAAGAUUUUAGGGUUGCUUGUUAUCAUCACAGAACAUUAUGUGGUGACUAAAAUUUCUCUUGUCCUUCUUUUCCGGCUCACUCUACCACGUACUCUAUUUUUAUGAUAGCACCUCUGUCAUCAAAUGGCAUUUGAUUUUAUGUAUUUGUCUUCCCUUUUAGCUGGAGGAGCUCUCAAGAGCAAGAUAUUGUGUGUUUGUUUAACCAGUGUACCUCCAGGGCCCAGAACAAACUGGCCUUUGGAACAUGUUGUGUGAAUAUGUGAGUCAAGCUAUUCACCCACAAAUCUUGUUCACAUGAUAAUCAAUCAAAUUAAUAGAAAUCGAAGAGAUUAUUAUCAAUAUUUGGGAUAAGAGAGAGAUGCUAAGUAUAUAAUUAAGAUCGGAAAGGUAGGCAUUAUAGAAAGAAACAGAGCUUGGCAUUUUCCAAUAGAAAUUAUGGUGUACAGUACUGAGGAAAGAAUUUUGUACAUGAUAUGGGGUUGAUAUGAGGCCAUUCAAAAGUUUUCCACCGACCUCCUAAACCAUGUGGAUUUACUUUUCCUUUACAACUGCCAAGAAGAAAAGUAACAUUCUCAACACCCUUGCUUUUAAAAGAAGAGAUUUGGUUGCAUGUAAAAGAGAGAAUAAAAAGGCAUCGACUCUCCUUGAGUCAGUGAUUCGUAAUAACCCUCCUGACACUCAUCCUUUUGCCUUGCCUGGCCUGAUAUGUCACUUUCUCUGAUAUCUGUUGUUCUAGUCCCCUUUCUACAACUUCUCUUGCCUUGUUUUAAUGUCAUCCUGACACUAGCCAUUUAUAUUACCCAUAUUGUUGGGUACCAGGAUAAAUGCAGUGUGUAUGAGCAUCCACAGGAAGAUACCUUUCUUGGGAAUCAAACCCAACUAAAAAUGCUAGAACAGAUAAUUGAUUCGUGAAUUCGAUAUUCACUUACUGAUUCACAAAUGAACGUUGAGGGGUGCUGGGCGCAGAGGAGCUGCUAACACCCCUACUGGAGGAUCCUUCCCUGUCUCAGAAUUGGUCAUUGAGAAGAUAUCCUGAACUUUUUUUUUUUUUUUUUUUGCUUUAGUUUUGUCACCUGCUGUCCCACGAUAUAUGAUAAAGACAGGUGAGCUUUUGAACUUGUUAAGCCCUUAUUUGACUAAGGUCAAGUUUGAAUCUUGAUCACUGGAGGUCAAACAGUGAAUUGGUCACCAAAGCCAGGACUAGGAUCAGAGUAUCUUGUGUCCUAGGCUCUAUUUCCCUCCUUUUUCUUUCAUUUAAAAAUAGUCUUUUUUUGAAAGAUUCAUUGAAAAGAGUUUCAAGGAGAGUCAAGGAGUUUCUAGCAGUUUGUCAUUAGUCAUGUAAAUAAUCUCAUGCUAACCUCCAGUUUAUUUAUCCUGCACACCACCAGGAGCUCCAGCUCUGGAACCAUGGGAAUCAGACCUGGGCUGAUGACAACGUGGCUGUCUCCCCAUCACUGCAUAUUCUCAGACAAGUCACUUAACAAAUCAGAGCCUCAGUUUCCACUUCUGUUAAGCAUGUAAAACCUGCCUACCAAUGUGAGGGUUGCAUGCAACAAUGCCUGAGAAAGUGCCUCUGACCCUGACAAGAGACACACUACUGCAAGCCAUUGCCAUGUCAGAUGUGUCUUUAUACACUGGGGGUUCAGAUAAAUUACCAUCUUUCGCUUCAACUAGGUCAAGCGUAAGCUUAGAAUUUCCUGAAUGCAUAAUUUCAUUGUUAGGCAUAAAGCUAGUAUGUGAGAUUUAAAAAUACAUAUUUUUUCCUCUCCUCAUUAGUUACAGCAUGUGAUUUCUCAGUAAAAACAUUUCCUCUGUGACUGUCAUAAAAUCACUGUGAUUUCCUAAUAAGGAAAUAUACUCAAAGUCUACCCAAGGUCUCUAUUUCCUACCACUUCGGGACUGCAGAAAACAGGAGUCAUCACUGGGGCUGUCAGGCUAAUUGCCCACUCAGAUUUCUGAUGGGCACCACAAAGCAUCCAAAACUAAAUAAAACAAAGCCAAACAAAGCCAGAAGGAGUUUUCGUGAGAGUUUGAGGUUUACAUUCAUAAAGGCUUUAAUUCCAUCAUGACCAAUUUCAAGGUAGACCAGAAAAAUAUAUGGUUGUUCAGCCAAAGGUCAAUCAUGAUUGAUUAAUUGACUCAAGCAUUAAUUUAUUCCUUCAGCACACAUGGGCCAGGUCCUGGGAUGCCAAGAUGAAUUGGAAUGCUUCUGUAUUCAAGGGGCCCACAGGCUAGUAAGAGUCAGAGAUAAGCAUGCAGGUAUGAAGGUAUAUUGUAGAUGCUCUCCUGUAAUCCUGCACAGGGAAUAGAAUAGGAUUCUCUUGGCGGGAGGGGAGGAGAUAAGGAUCCUCAAGAAAGGAUCCUUAGAAGGGACUGAAAGCCAAAUAGAUGUCUGUCAGACAGGUGGACCAGGAUGGAAGAGGGAGCUAGAUGGACAGUCAGAAAGAGAGACCCAUGUGAGAGUGCAGAAGAGUUUGGGGGAUGAAGUUGAAGGCCAUGCAGGAGAGUGGGGAGUGGGAUGGAGGAUGAGGAUGGACAGGAAGAGAAGACGAAGAUCUUUAUCUUCUGGGGAAGUGAGAUCAGGGAUCUGAACCAGGAAGGGAGAGUGGGGUGGCAUUUAGAAGUAUUUAGGAGGUACAUCAUACCGUAUCCCCAUGGGAAGGAGUCCAGGUCAACUCAUAGAUUUCCAACUUCAUCUGCGGGAAACACGGUGGCACUCAGCUGAGGAAGAGACUUUUUGAUUCAUAUUUUCUUUUGAUUCCAAGAAAUAAAAUCAGUUUCUUAUUUAUUCAUAUGUAAAGACUUUUGGGUGGUAGCUCGGGAGACCAUAAAAGAACACUUGACCUUAUAUAAAUGCCUUAACCAAAAAAAUUGUUAACAGCAGCAGCAAGAAACAUGGAUAUAUAGGGGGAGAGAAAAAAAUAAAUGGAAAAAUGUAAUCCAUGGAGUUGGAUAGGCCCAGAUUCAAAUCCUGGCUGGACUGCAAACUAAAAUCUGACCUCGAGGACAGUUAUUUAACUUCUCUCAGUCAUGAGAACAUACCUGGGUUAAUAGUAUGAUACUUAAACAUGCUAAUGAACAUAAAAGAUGAAAGUGUUCAAUAAACUCUCUGCCUUCCUCCCGCCCUCCCACUCUGCCUGGCUUCUGUUGUGUCUGAGUUAUCCCAGACUCCCAGGAUAAAGAACCUGACUUCCCCUGCAUCCAGAUAAUCCCCUCUCUAUUCCCUUCUUCAGCAAUCCUGGUUGAUGACUGGCCUUUAAAUCCCAUGUUCAAGACAAGGCUUCUUCCUUUAAGACUACCCCCUGGGAUGUUCUUCCAGGCAUUCUGCUGGCUCACUCUCCCUCCAGCUCUCUAACACAUUUGAAUUCUUCCUUUCCUCUGACAGCUUCUUUUUGACCUUAGAACACACUCCUGUUUCCUCCAAUUUAGAAAACACGAAUCAAAACACACCAGCAUUUCUAAAAGAGGCUGCUGAUCCUGUGCCAUGUUUUUCCUCCUGGCUCUUCUGUCUGGAGCACGGCAACCUUAACGCGUAUCCUCUGGACACCAUUUCACACUCAUCCCUAAACCUCUGCAGGUGGAUUCUUCACUAAACUGAAGAUAGAUCAGUGUGUGUCUGUCACCUUCCCAGCUCAAACUGAGAAGAGAUGCCAUCUGGAGUUGUGUGGCCCAGGAGCAAGAAAGGAAAGCCAGGAUACGAAACGCCAGGAGACAAAUCUGAAGGAGUCAGAAGAAACCCAUCUGCCCUGUGGAGUUCAAGGUCUCAGUUGGCCUUGAAGCACCGGCUUGACUGACUGACCUGAAGCAGAAGCCAAGACCUCUGUCUGCAGCCUGCACCUCCACAGCCCUGUCAUCGGGCCCUUCCCCAGCCUCCCCAGGGAGCGAGUUCUGCCAGUCAGCUCAUUUACAUCAUAAUGAGAGUCUGUCUCUGUCUCUUUAUCGUGGAAAAAAAAAAAAAAAAUGAGUGCCUUUGACAGUCUUUCUUCCCUGAUGAGAUGUCUGAUAAACUGUCUGUCUUAGACAAAAAGUUACUUUAUCACAGUGUUUCACAAAUAAGAAGAAAAUUGUCAGGAUCCAAAUAAAAGUGCUGUCUGCCUCUCCAA
RNAcentral lists this long non-coding RNA (5117 nucleotides) under Sus scrofa (pig). Its description in RNAcentral is "lncRNA (ENSSSCG00065060591.1)". The record is from RNAcentral. Lineage: Eukaryota; Metazoa; Chordata; Mammalia; Artiodactyla; Suidae.